AUUGAACGCUGGCGGCAUGCCUUACACAUGCAAGUCGAACGGCAGCACGGGUGCUUGCACCUGGUGGCGAGUGGCGAACGGGUGAGUAAUACAUCGGAACGUACCUUAUCGUGGGGGAUAACGCAGCGAAAGUUACGCUAAUACCGCAUACGAUCUGAGGAUGAAAGCGGGGGACCGUAAGGCCUCGCGCGAUUGGAGCGGCCGAUAUCAGAUUAGGUAGUUGGUGAGGUAAAGGCUCACCAAGCCAACGAUCUGUAGCUGGUCUGAGAGGACGACCAGCCACACUGGAACUGAGACACGGUCCAGACUCCUACGGGAGGCAGCAGUGGGGAAUUUUGGACAAUGGACGCAAGUCUGAUCCAGCCAUUCCGCGUGCAGGAUGAAGGCCCUCGGGUUGUAAACUGCUUUUGUACGGAACGAAAAGGUCUCUCCUAAUACGAGGGGCUCAUGACGGUACCGUAAGAAUAAGCACCGGCUAACUACGUGCCAGCCGCCGCCGUAA
RNAcentral lists this ribosomal RNA (502 nucleotides) under uncultured bacterium. Its description in RNAcentral is "partial 16S ribosomal RNA". It matches the Rfam family "Bacterial small subunit ribosomal RNA", at positions 30 to 523 of the family's 1533-position model. The record is from RNAcentral.